GAAAGCAGAGUCAAUGCCCUGACAUUGGACGCGUCAAGUGUGCAAAGUUCACCGACUGUUUCAUUCCUAGGAAGUAUGGAUUGCUACUAUUCCCUGUCUAGAAUAAAUCCCGAUGACGAGAAUGCCGUGAAGAACAUGCAGCAAGCACGAUUGAAAUACGUUUUGAAACAACUCCAGAAAGAAAGGGAAGACACAACGUUCGGAAGACCUUGUUUGUUUUGCAAGAAGUUUUU
Molecule: long non-coding RNA, 233 nt
Organism: Uloborus diversus
Lineage: Eukaryota; Metazoa; Arthropoda; Arachnida; Araneae; Uloboridae
Exons: 3
Source: RefSeq, a predicted model, not a curated record